GCUCUCCCCAAGGACGAAGCCAUGCAUGCCCGCUCACCCGGGACGCGGCGGUCGGCUCAGGACAACGGUUGCACCACCCGCGGCGGUCCCUGCUAGCCGGACACCGCUGGCAACCCGGCGCCAAGACGUGCGCGCAAGGGCGGGCGCCCGCGGGCGAGCAGCGUGACGCAGCGACGGCCCGCCCGGGCUUCCGGGGCAUCACCCGGUCGGCGCGGUCGCGUAGCGCCGAGGGCCCGACGCCU
This 242-nucleotide ribosomal RNA is filed under the name Giardia duodenalis. Its description in RNAcentral is "Giardia intestinalis partial small subunit ribosomal RNA". The record is from RNAcentral. Lineage: Eukaryota; Fornicata; Diplomonadida; Hexamitidae.